CUUAAGAGCUUACCAAAGCGAACAGAGAGAGAGAGAGAGAGAGAUGGACUUCGUCUAUGAGAGCACGAAUAGUGCAUUUGACAAUAUUACGUAGAAAGCAGUUGAAGAGGCCACAAAAUUCUUGCUUACUACUGUUUCACAUGAGAAAAGGGUUAGAUUGCCAAAUUUUGUACUAACAUUCACCCCAGUUAACAUAAUUUCUAGCACUAGUUCAGGUCGUGUUUGUUGGCUUCCUUAUUUAUGUAUUAUUGUUUUGUUUAUUUUAGGAGGAGGCCAUUGCCUCUAUUUGAAGGCCAUUUGUUGCUAUACUGAAUUAUAAACGACUCUCCAAUGGAUAUGUACAUAUAAAAUUAGUGUUGGAUAAGAGUAAUAUAUUGAUUUUGUAUGGAGAAAUGAUACUUGCAUUUUAUAAGGCACAAUGUCUUUCAGUGGGAUCAUUUGUUGUUGAUGAUGAGGAUGUAAAUCUAGCGAAAUCAAUUCUUGACAAAGAUAAUUCGAAAAGAGUGAAAAUCUUGUUACCAAAUGUAGUUGUGGUUGACAAGUUUACUUAUUAUGGAAAGAACAAGGUGGUGGCAGCAUCAACAAUCUCGAAUGGUUGGACUGGAAUGGACAUCGGACUUGAAUCAGUCGAUUUGUUUAAAAAUGCUCUGGACACUGCGAAAACUGUUGUGGGAACCUGAUGGGACAUAUGACUUUGGGAAGUUUAGCCGAGCAUCAGAGGUACCGAAUUUCCUAUAUUCAACUUUAAUAUUUAUCGAAUUCUAAUAGAACUUAUAUUUUAUGAUUAAUUGUAGACUAUUUCAUAGAAGCUAUUUGAACUUGAAGACAAAGAAGUGAAAGUACUCAUUGGAAUGCAAACAGAAAUUGAUAGGAGACCUAAAUUAUUGUACAAGUGACUACUUAAUGGAGGGCAUCGACUGGCAGUAAGGUUUUAUAGUGAGAACACAGUAU
This 951-nucleotide long non-coding RNA is filed under the name Olea europaea subsp. europaea. The record is from RNAcentral. Lineage: Eukaryota; Viridiplantae; Streptophyta; Magnoliopsida; Lamiales; Oleaceae.